This 449-nucleotide ribosomal RNA is filed under the name uncultured microorganism. RNAcentral describes it as "bacterial SSU rRNA". It matches the Rfam family "Bacterial small subunit ribosomal RNA", at positions 9 to 441 of the family's 1533-position model. The record is from RNAcentral.
GAGUUUGAUCGUGGCUCAGGAUGAACGCUGGCGGCGUGCCUAACACAUGCAAGUCGAACGGAGUUUAUGAGGAAGAAGCUUCGGCGGAAUUCUUAUAAACUUAGUGGCGGACGGGUGAGUAACACGUGGAGAACCUGCCUCUUACCGGGGGACAGCAGUUGGAAACGACUGAUAAUACCGCAUAAGCGCACGAGACCGCAUGGUCCUGUGUGAAAAGAUUUAUCGGUAAGAGAUGGCCCCGCGUCUGAUUAGCCAGUUGGCGGGGUAACGGCCCACCAAAGCGACGAUCAGUAGCCGGCCUGAGAGGGUGAACGGCCACAUUGGGACUGAGACACGGCCCAGACUCCUACGGGAGGCAGCAGUGGGGGAGUAUUGCACAAUGGAGGAAACUCUGAUGCAGCGACGCCGCGUGAGUGAAGAAGUAUUCGGUAUGUAAAGCUCUAUCAGCA